UUGGAGCGGCGCAAGGAGUGCGUAACACGUGGGUAAUUUGCCGUGAAGUUGGGG
Molecule: ribosomal RNA, 54 nt
Filed under: uncultured Verrucomicrobiota bacterium
Lineage: Bacteria; Pseudomonadati; Verrucomicrobiota
Description: uncultured Verrucomicrobia bacterium partial 16S ribosomal RNA
Source: RNAcentral